RNAcentral lists this unclassified non-coding RNA (274 nucleotides) under Hevea brasiliensis (rubber tree). Lineage: Eukaryota; Viridiplantae; Streptophyta; Magnoliopsida; Malpighiales; Euphorbiaceae. The record is from RNAcentral.
ACCAGCUUCAUAUUUCUCUCUAUAUCACUUGGGUAUUAUUCUGUUAGACCUGAGAACUAAGGGCGCAUCCUAGAGGUGUAGAAGCUGUUCGGCUUUUAAAUGGAUUUGACGAGAGUUUUAUUUGUUUUCUGCACUCCACCCGUUGACAUUUUCCUUAGCCGUGGUGCCGUACAAGUUGCACUUUGGUGCAAGUUGCGUUGUCAAGGACCAAAACGACAGCCUCGUCAGAGUAACAAUAACCUCAUUUGAUAACAACUUAGAUACUAUAUUGUCA